GAGACAAAGGAAACACAGAGACAUAGACAUGGAUCUGGGAAAUACACCUUUUGCUACUCGUUCAGUUUUAGCAAGGAGGUUUCUUGCAUGGCUAAGCAAAACUUAAACUUCCUCUGAGAAUUACAGGAAUUACAGGACCUGACAAAGCUAUGAAGAUUAAAACCUAUAGGAAGAAAAUCUGAACCAGAAACAGUAUGGCAGAAUUGGGAUCUGACUCACAGAGGGAAGAACUUAUAAUUCUUCACAGGUCACAUAGAAGCAUGAGAAUUUGGGUUCAAGCAAGAGAAACAUUUUGCACUGUGCUGGGGGAUUCUACCCACAUAAGUCAGCAUGUUACUUGCUAGAUAAAAGAGCAAUGAAUGGAGUACUUCAUUUUAAAUGCCGCAACUCAGCAAGAAAAAAAAAGUGUCUGGUAUCUUCCUGAACAACUACCUGGUAUUAUACAGGUGAGAUAAAUUGUGAUGCCACCAAAUGUCCUAUAUAUAAACGUAUGGACAUAUAUUCUUUUCUGAAAACUGUAUUUAUACUGCAUAAUUUCUAUCUUAUAUUUUCAUGAAUGGUGCCUGUUCAUUUCCUUAUAUCAUUAAAUACACUUCAAGAAAACGUCAUUUCCAGUGGACUCCCAACAAGAGCAUAAACUUUUGAUGUCAGAAAAACAGCGCAGACAUGAUCUGGACUCUGGGAUAUGUAAGAUGACCCUCGUCUUAGGAGGCCACAUGGACUGUAUCACGUACACAGUAUAUGAGGAAGCUGAGCUUUCCCUAGGGAAACAAGAAAAAGAGUGGAAACUUAACAUUGUCCUAUUUUUGUGCUUUACAUUUAUUAUCCUACUUAGUGCUUCCCCAAAACUUAGAAACUGUUAUUAUCUCAUUUUACAUAGGAGGAAACUGUGACUUAGAGAGAUGAAGAUACCUUAUAUAUAGAUCUUGGAUUUGGGACCAGAACUGCCCUAGUCUAGACCUUAGUUCUUUCUAUUUCACCAUUCUGCUUCUCUGAGAGGUAAACGACAUCUUAAAAUCAAGUCAGAUAAAAUGCUUUAUACAACUACAUGAAGAAAAAAUUUAAAUUUUAUGAGUGGAAUAGGACAUUUGGUUACUCGGAAUCAGGGAGAUAAUGCAAUGUUCUUAUGCUUCAUGUUUAAUUCCCUGAAGCUUAAAAGGGGAAUCUUGAGGACAAGUAGGGCAGUCUCUCUUUCCUUAGGUCGGGAAUCAGGGAGAAAUGAAAAAGGAUAGAGUGGGUGUGGAGAUAAUGGUAGCUCAGUCUAGGAGAAAUGGAGCCCGCUCAUCUCUACAUGAACUAAAUACUGGCAGAGAUUGAGAAUUUUUGUAUAUCCUGCAUCACUUUUAAAAAGUAGAUCACUUCUAACAAUAUAGGAUUGAAGACAAUAAGAGAGGCCUAGGGGUCUUUUAAUCUAUAUUAGCUAAAUGUCUUUGAUAACAUUUAAUAAACUUGGCAAUGAA
Molecule: long non-coding RNA, 1460 nt
Organism: Homo sapiens (human)
Lineage: Eukaryota; Metazoa; Chordata; Mammalia; Primates; Hominidae
Product: long intergenic non-protein coding RNA 844
Source: Ensembl